Long non-coding RNA from Nilaparvata lugens (brown planthopper), 1282 nucleotides. RefSeq lists it as uncharacterized. The transcript is spliced from 5 exons. Lineage: Eukaryota; Metazoa; Arthropoda; Insecta; Hemiptera; Delphacidae. The record is from RefSeq and is a predicted model, not a curated record.
CGCAACUAAAAGCCUCAGCAACGGUCCUAUUAAUCAAUAAGUGAUUUUGCACAUGCGCUCAUAAAUGUAUUGCAAGUACGUGACGGUGUGGUGAUUUAUUGAUCUUUCGAGAUGAGUUUCCCUAGCGACUGUGCGCGUUUCUAUGGUUACGCAACAGGUAGGGCGGGCGUUUUCUCAAUUUCUCAUCUCACCAGCUCACUAGCUGCUUGCUGCUGCUUGGAAACGGUCCACUUUCAGAGAGCACCUCCUAACUGAAGUCACAAUUCCUGCAAUUUUCCUGUAUUUUGCCGAAUUGAAAAUGGAAGAAGCUUCUCUCUAGUACAGAAUACUUCAAACCCCAAAUAUCGGCUACUGCAGAGACCAAGGAUGUGGCUGGAGUAAGUGGCUUCUUUUGAUACAUAAGUGCCACAACUUCAUCAGUGUGGUGUGGAUUCUGCCAAUCUAGAACCAGCUGUAGUCAAUAACUUGUGCCGAGUUCUAGAAAAGAAUUUGGAUCACCGUUGAAAUCAGCUACUGCAGAGACCAAGGAUGUGGCUGGAGUAAGUGGCUUCUUUUGAUACAUAAGUGCCACAACUUCAUCAGUGUGGUGUGGAUUCUGCCAAUCUAGAACCAGCUGUAGUCAAUAACUUGUGCCGAGUUCUAGAGAAGAAUUUGGAUCACCGUUGAAAUCAAUUGAGACAGUGAAGAAGAACGUCACUGGAUGAAAUGGCUUACUACGACGAAAAUGGGGAGAAUAACCCAUUCAGAAGUGGCGUGGAACAUGACACCAUGGUACGAACUUUACUCAAUAACCCAUUCCGAAUCAGCGGGUCAACAGCCGAAGGUGACAACUUCUUACAAAAACGUACUUUCUUCAAUUGUUUGGUAAUUAGUAAUGAGCCUCGAAAAUUACCCGGCACAAAACAAAUAGCGAAAAUCAUAAGAGAAACUUAUUUCUUAGGGAAUGUAUUAGAUUCUUAUAACUAUGACGUGGAUGAGUCUGUAACUGACUCUGACUGGGAUCAUGAUUAUAAUGAAGUGUAUUUGUCUGAGGUACCUUUGGAGAGUAGAUUUCCUGAACCAUCCAGUACAAAAUGUGGAACUCGUCCACAUCCUAGAUCCAGUAAACGACUUAAAACGGGAAAACAUAUAAGAAAACGUUCACAACGUGGAAUUGAUCCACAUCCUGAAACCACCGCACAACCCAAAACCAGAGAACAUCAUAGAAAAAGUACUCAAUAUGAAACUAGUCCACAGCCUGGAACCAGUUCACAAUUUGGAACAAGUGAACAUCGUGGAACUA